This 776-nucleotide long non-coding RNA is filed under the name Oryza sativa (Asian cultivated rice). Its description in RNAcentral is "long non-coding RNA (OSAT_LNC001730)". The record is from RNAcentral. Lineage: Eukaryota; Viridiplantae; Streptophyta; Magnoliopsida; Poales; Poaceae.
CUCUUCUCCUAUUGAUUCAGGUUUUUCCCGUGGUCUUUUUCCUUUUGGUUCUCGAGGUGGUUGUUGGCGUUGGCCGUCCUUGUCCCGGCAUCUGGGUGAGCGUUGUCGGGCUUCUUCUCAGAGGCGAUUUACUCCAUCGCUGGGACUCUUCUCCUGGGUACUACCUAGGGCGCCUCCAGAUAUGUACAAAGAGAGGUAUCGCCUGCCUACAUAAACAUCUCCGGCAAGGUCUUUCUAAGGAAGGGGCCUUAUGCUUGAUCCCUGGCGACGAAUUUUCACUUGGUGGCUAAAAUUUUCAGGUUGCGCCAAGGGGGCCUCAACCGGGUACGCCUCCUGCCUUUUUCACGGUGAAAUACAUCUGGCUGUGAUCUUUGGAAUAGUUAUGGUUUUUUACCGAUUUCUCUCAAGAACAAUGGUGUAAAUCUUAAUUGGUGUUGCUAAUAUUUCAUUUUGCUCGUCAACGUCGUAACCUCCACGUGUGGGAGGCCUCUUCAGGGAUCGAGUAAUGGCGCCACCUCAUGCAACUCACCUGAUUUCACACUCCACCGGAAGUGAGCUCCAAAUAUUUUCCAUCGGUGACGAAGACCAAAGAAGAAGGAUUUGAUUGUUUUUUCAAUUCUUUUUAAGUUUUUUUUUUGCAAAUUGUUGGGCAAAAGUGUAAUUUGCCCAUUCACAAGGGGCUUCUUUUCAAAACUGGAAGUGUCCCAGUAGCACUGUAACAACUCAUGUAUUUUAUGUUUCUAAUCUACUUUAUAUAAAUAAAUGCAUGAGUUUUA